GAUGAACGCUGGCGGCGUGCCUAAUACAUGCAAGUCGAGCGAACGGACGAGAAGCUUGCUUCUCUGAUGUUAUCGGCGGACGGGUGAGUAACACGUGGAUAACCUACCUAUAAGACUGGGAUAACUUCGGGAAACCGGAGCUAAUACCGGAUAAUAUUUUGAACCGCAUGGUUCAAAAGUGAAAGACGGUCUUGCUGUCACUUAUAGAUGGAUCCGCGCUGCAUUAGCUAGUUGGUAAGGUAACGGCUUACCAAGGCAACGAUGCAUAGCCGACCUGAGAGGGUGAUCGGCCACACUGGAACUGAGACACGGUCCAGACUCCUACGGGAGGCAGCAGUAGGGAAUCUUCCGCAAUGGGCGAAAGCCUGACGGAGCAACGCCGCGUGAGUGAUGAAGGUCUUCGGAUCGUAAAACUCUGUUAUUAGGGAAGAACAUAUGUGUAAGUAACUGUGCACAUCUUGACGGUACCUAAUCAGAAAGCCACGGCUAACUACG
This 495-nucleotide ribosomal RNA is filed under the name uncultured bacterium. Its description in RNAcentral is "partial 16S ribosomal RNA". It matches the Rfam family "Bacterial small subunit ribosomal RNA", at positions 28 to 505 of the family's 1533-position model. The record is from RNAcentral.